CGAUGAUCCCCAGCUUGCUGGGGGGAUUAGUGGCGAACGGGUGAGUAACACGUGAGUAACCUGCCCUUGACUCUGGGAUAAGCCUGGGAAACUGGGUCUAAUACUGGAUACGACCUUCUGGCGCAUGCCAUGUGGGUGGAAAGCUUUUGUGGUUUUGGAUGGACUCGCGGCCUAUCAGCUUGUUGGUGGGGUAAUGGCCUACCAAGGCGACGACGGGUAGCCGGCCUGAGAGGGUGGACGGCCACACUGGGACUGAGACACGGCCCAGACUCCUACGGGAGGCAGCAGUGGGGAAUAUUGCACAAUGGGCGCAAGCCUGAUGCAGCGACGCCGCGUGAGGGAUGAAGGCCUUCGGGUUGUAAACCUCUUUCAGUAGGGAAGAAGCGAAAGUGACGGUACCUGCAGAAGAAGCGCCGGCUAACUACGUGCCAGCAGCCGCGGUAAUACGUAGGGCGCAAGCGUUAUCCGGAAUUAUUGGGCGUAAAGAGCUCGUAGGCGGUUUGUCGCGUCUGCCGUGAAAGUCCGGGGCUUAACUCCGGAUCUGCGGUGGGUACGGGCAGACUUGAGUGAUGUAGGGGAGACUGGAAUUCCUGGUGUAGCGGUGAAAUGCGCAGAUAUCAGGAGGAACACCGAUGGCGAAGGCAGGUCUCUGGGCAUUAACUGACGCUGAGGAGCGAAAGCAUGGGGAGCGAACAGGAUUAGAUACCCUGGUAGUCCAUGCCGUAAACGUUGGGCACUAGGUGUGGGGGA
RNAcentral lists this ribosomal RNA (750 nucleotides) under Arthrobacter sp. RNAcentral's name for it is "bacterial SSU rRNA". It matches the Rfam family "Bacterial small subunit ribosomal RNA", at positions 67 to 829 of the family's 1533-position model. The record is from RNAcentral. Lineage: Bacteria; Bacillati; Actinomycetota; Actinomycetes; Micrococcales; Micrococcaceae.